This 23-nucleotide microRNA is filed under the name Diachasmimorpha longicaudata. RNAcentral's name for it is "Dlo-Mir-133_5p* (star (passenger))". Lineage: Eukaryota; Metazoa; Arthropoda; Insecta; Hymenoptera; Braconidae. RNAcentral also lists the same sequence under 2 other names. The record is from RNAcentral.
AGCUGGUUGAACACGGGUCAAAU